UGAGCAAUCUGCCCUUCUCAUCGGAAUAAGCGUUGGAAACGACGUCUAAUGCCGAAUACGACCUCCUUUCGCAUGAUCGGAGGUGGAAAGCUCCGGCGGAGAAGGAUGAGCUCGCGGCCUAUCAGCUAGUUGGUGUGGGUAACGGCCCACCAAGGCGACGACGGGUAGCCGGCCUGAGAGGGUGACCGGCCACACUGGGACUGAGACACGGCCCAGACUCCGUACGGGAGGNAG
This 234-nucleotide ribosomal RNA is filed under the name uncultured bacterium. RNAcentral describes it as "partial 16S ribosomal RNA". It matches the Rfam family "Bacterial small subunit ribosomal RNA", at positions 118 to 351 of the family's 1533-position model. The record is from RNAcentral.